Molecule: ribosomal RNA, 253 nt
Filed under: uncultured bacterium
Lineage: Bacteria
Description: partial 16S ribosomal RNA
Rfam family: Bacterial small subunit ribosomal RNA
Source: RNAcentral
UACGGGGGGGGCAAGCGUUGUUCGGAAUUACUGGGCGUAAAGGGCUCGUAGGUGGCCAACUAAGUCAGACGUGAAAUCCCUCAGCUUAACUGGGGAACCGCGUCUGAUACUGGAUGGCUUGAGUUUGGGAGAGGGAUGCGGAAUUCCAGGUGUAGCGGUGAAAUGCGUAGAUAUCUGGAGGAACACCGGUGGCGAAGGCGGCAUCCUGGACCAACACUGACACUGAGGAGCGAAAGCCAGGGGAGCAAACGGG